ACUCAAACGAUGCAGAUAUUUGACGCUUAAUUCUUCAGAACGUUGAAUUUAUCUGAAAGAUUGAAUGUUCAAAGCUCCAACCGUCGACCAGCAAAAGAUGGAAUCGUCAGGAAUAAGAAAUCUGUCUUACAUUCAGCAAAUAAUUAACGUGGUGCAAAAGGAACUUGCUCAGUUUUUCAUUAAACAAUGGAACUCUCGUUACAAAUCAACUUAUGGAGAAUGGGAUGAUACACACAACAGUGGUAACAAAUUUUACAAUUUAGAAUCAAGAAGAAAGUUAGACCAAAAAACUCGACAAAAA
Molecule: long non-coding RNA, 301 nt
Organism: Xenia sp. Carnegie-2017
Lineage: Eukaryota; Metazoa; Cnidaria; Anthozoa; Malacalcyonacea; Xeniidae
Exons: 2
Source: RefSeq, a predicted model, not a curated record